GACUGUCACGCCCCGGGACCCGGCAUAGGCCCGCCCGGUGCGCGCCCAGACCCGCCAUAUGUCUACACAUAUAAGGCGUCUACACAAAAGCGGAAGAGUAAAGCAUGAGAAGAUCUACAACUAGAGAUAUCAGAGCAAGUAUAUAGCUAGGUUCUAACAUCAGGUAGAAUCAAGAGAAAAUCAUACUACUAAAGCAUAAAGUAAACUGAUACAUCAUAAAUCACAAGAUACAAAAAUAGGGUGGUCUCUAUAAUCAGGUACAAAACUCUCACAACCUCUCCAAAAGAAAACAAAAGAGAGGUGGACC
This 307-nucleotide long non-coding RNA is filed under the name Ananas comosus (pineapple). RNAcentral's name for it is "long non-coding RNA (ACOM_LNC035108)". The record is from RNAcentral. Lineage: Eukaryota; Viridiplantae; Streptophyta; Magnoliopsida; Poales; Bromeliaceae.